This is a long non-coding RNA of Aphis gossypii (cotton aphid), 2213 nucleotides long. RefSeq lists it as uncharacterized. The transcript has 2 exons. Lineage: Eukaryota; Metazoa; Arthropoda; Insecta; Hemiptera; Aphididae. The record is from RefSeq and is a predicted model, not a curated record.
UCUUAAUCGUAUUUAUUAUUUUUUGCUUUAAAUAAUAAAAACUAAUGAUUUAUAAUUGAUUAAAGAUACAUAAUAUAUUCACAAUAGGUAAAUUAUAAUUUAUGCAAUUUGUUUUUUUUUCAAAUUAUCAUAUUUUAAAUUUAAUAUUUACUAAAGGUAAUGCGUGUUUGGUUGUAGUUUAAAGAUUUAUAAAGUAUCGACCGAUUUUAUGUAUUUUAUGAACAUUUUGGAAAAUGUUUUUAGAAAUACCAGGAAAGUUUUGAAAAUACCUAAACUAAACAAUUUCUGAUACGUGGUACUGUAAAAACUUUUUUUAUAUUUUUGUUAAUUGUGUGCCUUAUUAUUACCUAUUAACUAAUACAAAGUAUUGUUUUGGAGAAUAAUGUUAAAAUAACGUACCUACGUUGUUACUGUUAUUAUUUUUUUUCACGGAAGAAGCCAGUUAAUAAAAUGCAUAAAGAAAUGUAAUUGUUUAACAAUAAUAUUAUCUUAGUAACCAGUCAAACAUCAUACAUUUUUUAUCGAGAUAUUUUAUCGCUGAUGUUUUUGUUUCGUAGAACUUAUGAAUUACGCCUUCCUUUUCGUAGACGUUUUUGGUCCUAUAGCUGAGUUCAAUUGUCAGCGCAUAUGAAAACGACAACGAGGAGUGUCAUCGGUUCGGACGUAAUCAAAAACAAAUUAAAACCCGUGAAUAAUACAAUGACAGUGGUACAAACGAGACUACGCGUUGACACGUGAAUGUGACUACACGAACAUCGUGUAUGACGGAGAACCCUCGAUAACAAUCGACGUCGUCGGCUGUGCAGGAGCGUAGGGUUAGCAUUGUUGUUGUGGUCGUCGUCAUCGUGACAAUUGGUGGUUUUGAUGAGCCACGCUGACUCUCGGCUGAAAUUGUGAUUUUCCGUCGUUUAGCCCGGUAGAGACCGAUUUUUUGUUUUAUGUUACGUCUGGUGUGUUUUUGGCUCCUAUAAACCUUACCUAUUAUAAGGUUCUGAUAUUAAUGGAUAGCGCGUUUAUGAAUUGAAGGGUAUUGAAUAUAAUCGACUUGAUUUGGGUUCGAGUUUUGAAUUUAUAAAAUGUUUAUUGGCCAUGUGUCUUAUGUUUACAUAUAUAUCAUUCUCGAGAAAUAGUUAUAUUAUAUCAUUUAAAACCGUGACAUUUUUUUUUUUUUUUUAAUACUUAUUUGUUUACAAUUUUUUUUUGUCAUUGUGUAGCAGACAUUUAUUAAGCGUGUUAUGGAAGUUUGCGAGAACAACACUAAUAAUAAUCGAGGUUUCCCGUUUGAUUACGUUUUUAAUAAUAAUAAUAUAAUAGGUGUGCUGUUAGAUAUAGUGUGUUAUAAAUUAAUUAUUCAUUCGUAAAUAGUAAAGUUUACAGUUUUUAUUUACAUUAACAUAUUAUAAAGUGCAAUUAAAAAUUGUAGUUAUCAUCUGAAUUAUUUACAAACAAAACAAAUCCAAAACAAUUAGUUAUUUUUUUACCUAAAAAAAGUUCAUUAAUUUUAUGAUUAUUUAUUUAUCGUAUAUAUUAAUAACAUUAUACUCUGUAAUAUCAAGACAAUUUUUUCGAUUUAAUUUUCAAAUUUAUAAUAAACUGCAGUAUAAAAAUAUUAUAAUAUUCAUAAAACACAUCGAAUGAAAUUCAGAAAUAAUGACCGGACUUCGAACCAUCCAAUCGGAAGGAACGAUGGUGUUUCCGGUAGGCAGUUGAUUUACUAUCUCGUCCCGACCCCUUAUAGGGAUGAUGCGGAAGUUCUAUUACGCCGGAAGCCGGAUGUGGCAUGGCUAGAGGGAAAAAUAUUGGCUCAGCGUCGGUAUGGUCGUUUGGACAACACUCUUGGGAAUAGUCGUCUUAGGAACUUAUGAGUUUACUCGAUGAAAAUCUGGAAACCCUUUGGCCAUAUCGUUCAAGAAGUAUUGAAGGAAAAUAAAUGAAAAACGUGUCUUUGCCGCAAGGAAACUAACACUGAUGAAAUCAAUAGUGGAUCGGCCACAAACCAAUUUCCUUGACUUCAAAGCCCUCUGGGAAUGUUUACACACGAUGGUGAAAUUAAAACUUAACGUUCGUAUACAGGAAUACAACAAUUAUAUCUUGGCAAUGCUAUUGCGGCGGAUACUAUAAUAUACUCAAACCACUUCCGUUUCCAGUUCGUCCCGCUUCAGACAUUAAGCAUGUUUAUAAUCCAAUAUUAAAUUUAAAUCGAUAUAUUUUAA